Non-coding RNA from Podarcis lilfordi (Lilford's wall lizard), 71 nucleotides. Lineage: Eukaryota; Metazoa; Chordata; Lepidosauria; Squamata; Lacertidae. The record is from the annotation of a GenBank genome assembly.
GGGCCAUAGCCUAGUGGUAGAGUAACUGCUUUGUAUGCAGAAAGUUCCAAGUUCAAUUCCUGGCAUCUCCU